This 576-nucleotide ribosomal RNA is filed under the name Triticum aestivum (bread wheat). Its description in RNAcentral is "partial small subunit ribosomal RNA". Lineage: Eukaryota; Viridiplantae; Streptophyta; Magnoliopsida; Poales; Poaceae. The record is from RNAcentral.
AUGUGCAGAAGAACGUUUCAUCUUUGGCGGGCUCCCCUGAGGAGUGCCGCCGGAAUUAAUGGAUCUCAUGAGUUGGAACUGCUGGGAGGGGGGAAUUCCCGGACAGUUCGCGAGCUAGCGACGCUAGUGCAGCCGCAUUCCCCCAGGAUGGUGUUUUUGUGUGAGACAAGACAAAAAGAAGAGAAAAUGAGAAGGUUGAGAGGCCGGCUGGGCCUCAAAGGCUUUACUAGUGUGGACAGCAAUGGCCUCAAAGGCUUUACUAGUGUGGACAGCAAUCUGUGGAGGGGGGCACCGCACACGGCUAAAAUCAACUUGUGUGUCUAUGGGGUGCCCCCUCCCCCGUAUAUAAAGGAGGAGAGGAGGGGGCCGGCCGGCCUCAUGGUGCGCCCCCAAGGGGGGAUUCCUACUCCUACUAGGAGUAGGUUUCCCCCCUUUCCUAGUCCAAAUAGGAGGGGGAAGGAAGGGGAAGAGGGAAAGAAGGAAAGGGGGGCCGGCCCCCUCCCCAAUUCGGAUUGGGCUUGGGGGCGCGCCCCACCUCUUGGCCGCCUCCUCUCUCUUCCACUAAAGCCCAUGUAG